RNAcentral lists this ribosomal RNA (439 nucleotides) under uncultured bacterium. RNAcentral describes it as "partial 16S ribosomal RNA". It matches the Rfam family "Bacterial small subunit ribosomal RNA", at positions 339 to 795 of the family's 1533-position model. The record is from RNAcentral.
CUACGGGAGGCUCCAGUGAGGAAUAUUGCACAAUGGGAGGAACCCUGAUGCAGCAACGCCGCGUGGAGGAUGACGCAUUUCGGUGUGUAAACUCCUUUUAUAUGUCAAGAAAAUGACGGUAGCAUAUGAAUAAGCACCGGCUAACUCCGUGCCAGCAGCCGCGGUAAUACGGAGGGUGCAAGCGUUACUCGGAAUCACUGGGCGUAAAGGACGCGUAGGCGGGUUGGAAAGUCAGGUGUGAAAUCCUACAGCUUAACUGUAGAGCUGCACUUGAAACUUCUAAUCUAGAGUAUGGGAGGGGGAGAUGGAAUUAGUGGUGUAGGGGUAAAAUCCGUAGAUAUCACUAGGAGUACCUAAAGCGAAGGCGAUCUCCUGGAACAUUACUGACGCUAAGGCGUGAAAGCGCGGGGAGCAAACAGGAUUAGAUACCCCGGUAGUC